UGAGACCAGGACUGGAUGCACC
Molecule: microRNA, 22 nt
Filed under: Homo sapiens (human)
Lineage: Eukaryota; Metazoa; Chordata; Mammalia; Primates; Hominidae
Description: hsa-miR-4786-5p
Source: miRBase by way of RNAcentral